Molecule: ribosomal RNA, 253 nt
Filed under: uncultured bacterium
Lineage: Bacteria
Description: partial 16S ribosomal RNA
Rfam family: Bacterial small subunit ribosomal RNA
Source: RNAcentral
CACGUAGGGCGCAAGCGUUGUCCGGAAUUAUUGGGCGUAAAGAGCUCGUAGGCGGUCUGUUGCGUCUGCUGUGAAAACUCGGGGCUUAACUCCGGGCCUGCAGUGGGUACGGGCAGACUAGAGUGCGGUAGGGGAGACUGGAAUUCCUGGUGUAGCGGUGAAAUGCGCAGAUAUCAGGAGGAACACCGGUGGCGAAGGCGGGUCUCUGGGCCGUAACUGACGCUGAGGAGCGAAAGCGUGGGGAGCAAACAGG